AUGGAGUCCAAAUCCUGGUUCCACACAGGACCACCCCAAAAUCAGACCAUGUGUCUGAGAGCAUUGUCCAAGCAUUUCUUGAACUCUGGCAGGCUCGGGGCCAUGACUUGUCUGGGGAGCCUGUGCCAGUGCCCAGCCACCAGUGAAGAAGCUUUUCCUAACACCCGGCCUGAACCUCCCGGACACAUUUCCGUGCCAUUAAUGAGGAAUGGCCCUUUACAGAGUAUUUCCAUUUUCGCUUUAUAUGGCUGGAGAAAAGAGCCAAAAAAAACCUCACCAGCAGACCGGGACUCGCCCAAAGCCAGUGGAGAAGGUAGUGCCGACAGUCAGCCAGCUUGCUGCCAGAGCAGGACGACUUGUGCAGAACCAGGAUUCUUCUAG
Molecule: long non-coding RNA, 381 nt
Filed under: Anser cygnoides (Swan goose)
Lineage: Eukaryota; Metazoa; Chordata; Aves; Anseriformes; Anatidae
Description: lncRNA (ENSACDG00005011041.1)
Source: RNAcentral